CCGGCUGAGCCCGGCCCGGCCGCUGCCUCCUCCAGUGCCCCUGUACCCCUUCUCGUGAAACUCCGCAUCCAGCUCCCCCUCCUCGGGGCAGCAGAACUGAGUGUACGUGCUGGCAGCCUCGGUCCAACUUUACCUUAUGCCUGCCUUGUAAUGUCUACGAGUCUCAGGGAAACUGAAUGGGUUCUGUAAUACCUUUAAGACCUGGACCUGGAAGCUCAUCAAGCAAAUAAAGCUGUGCUAUGUUGAUAAA
Molecule: non-coding RNA, 250 nt
Organism: Cyanistes caeruleus (blue tit)
Lineage: Eukaryota; Metazoa; Chordata; Aves; Passeriformes; Paridae
Source: RefSeq, a predicted model, not a curated record